Triticum dicoccoides is the source of this 3040-nucleotide RNA transcript. It is a transcript of the gene named flagellar assembly protein FliH-like, with no coding region annotated. The record is from RefSeq and is a predicted model, not a curated record. The transcript is spliced from 10 exons. Lineage: Eukaryota; Viridiplantae; Streptophyta; Magnoliopsida; Poales; Poaceae.
GCCUUCUAUCCCGUCGGCCGUCGCCGCUCUCCCGACGCCGCCGCCGCCGCCGCCUCCUCGUGUAGCCCCCACCCGACGUCGUCCUCCUGCCCGUGGAUCUCCGUCGCCGCCUUCCCCGUAGAGCCCACGCACCCCCUCCACCCCCGGCCCCGCCGUCCCCGUUGAGCACUGAAUCCGCCGGCCGCCAGGUGCAGAUUGGUUUCUCGAUGGAGGCACCACCGUCGAGGGAGGAAGGAGCCUAUUGGCAUGGCAAUGGUGAAGAUGCUGCUUCGGACGAUGGCUCCUCCUGGUGUGAUUAUUCAGAUUCCCCAGGACAUGGUUCCAGCUUACACACAGAAUGGGCCCACAUGCAGGACCGGCUUCAUAAGAUGGGCUAUAGGGAAGGCAUAUCCGAAGGGCGGAAGGACGCUGCCCAAGAGGGCUUCAAUCUUGGGCAUAGGCAAUCUGCGCCUGUAGGAUACAAGUGGGGUCUCGUUCGGGGAAUUACUAGUGCAUUGGCUAGUCUUCCGGACAGUCUAAAAGAAAAGUUGCUGCUCGACGCCCAACGUAGGAGGGAACUUGAAGAUUUGCGCAACUCUGUGCAAGAAAUUUCACCAGAGGCUGCACUGCGGAUGUUUCAUGAGAGUAUUAUUCAGGAUAAUGCUCCGCUAGUGGAAAGCAGGCUUCAAACCAUUCCAAAUGAUCUUCUGCUGUUGUUGCGCGAAUGCCCAGAUGUUCAAGUUCCUGAAGAGUUGAAACGAGUUCCGUAAGCAAGGUCGAUAGUGAAAUUGCAAGCACCACUGAUUUUGAACUCUGGUAGAAUCACUUGGACUGAGUUCUUCUGAAGGAUGCAGUUACAGAAAAUGCUAGUUUGCAUCGGCUGGCUUCAGCAAAUGCACUCAAAUCUGCUCAACCGAAGGGCCCGAUCCACACCUCAGAGUUGCGAUGACCUACUGCUGUUAAUGGGAUGUUAACUGCAUGCUGAUAUGUCCUUUGAUGGUCCAUGGUAGUUAUUGGACUGCACACCGUGUCAGUAAGUUGUCUGCUUCUAUUUCUGUUACAGGGGUUGGUGUGAUUGGAACAUCAAGCUGUUGGUUUUGAGUGUUAAUGCCAUCUAUUCAUGGUGAUGCAUGCUUCAGGUUGGUGAGAGCAUCAAACCUUUGUAUCCGUUGUGACUUGUGACUGUUUGUUUUGAGUGUUAUAUUCAUGGUGAUUCAUGCUUGAUCAAUCUGCCUUCUUCACAUGUCCGUUUGGAGUGUUUCUUGUUGUUCCUAUUCAGUGCCAUUUAUUUGGUUUCAUGUGGGACUAUUCCUUGGUUGCUACUGAGCUGAAUGAAGUACCAGGCCCACAUGCAAGCUCUUUUUGUCUGUCUGCAUUGUUCAAGGCUGCAUCUUACACUCAUGACAUUGCAGGACAUAAUUUGAAAUGGUUUGGUGCGCAGCACCAGAAAUCCCUGGACGAAAUGAUCGAACCUUUGGAGAUUCUUCCGCCGUCUCUUGUUACCUGAUAUGGCAUUUCUGCCAUGUGAAUAGCUGUUUUCUUGCAUACAGUUCCUUUGUGUCAUUGUCAUUUAUUAUAUUUUCCUUUUGUUGUCCUUCAAGCAGUGCAUUAGCUAGUCUUCCUGAUGACAGUCUAAAAGAAAAGCUGCUGCUCGAUGCCCAGCAUAGAGGAAACCUUGAAGAUUUGAACAACUCUGUGCUAGAAAUUUCAGCAGAGGGCGCGCUGCAGCUGUUUCAAGAGAGUAUUCUUGAGGAUAAUCGUCAACCAGAGGAAAGCAAGCUCCGAACUUUUCCAAAGGACCUUCUGUUGCUGUUGCACGACUUCCCAGAUGUUCAAGUUUCUGAAGAGUUGAAACGAGUUCCGUAACCAAGGCCAUAAAUGAAAUUGCAAGCACCACUGGUUUCGAGAGAAAAAUGCACUCACAUCUGCUCAACUGAAGGACCCUGAUCCACUCCUAGCUCAAAAUUGCUAUGCCCUACUGCUGUUAAUGUGAGGUGAACUGCAUGCUGAUAUAUCCUUUGAUGGCCCAUGAUAGUUGUUGGACUGCACACCAUGUGUGUAAAUUGUCUGCUUCGAUUUCAAUUACAGCCUGUUGGUGUGAUUGGAGCAUAUCAAGCUGAGCAUGAGCAUCCAUCCUUCAGGACAUGAUUUUUUGGUGCGCACCAGAAAACUCUGGACCGAAUCGUCGAAUAUUUGAAAAUUCUGCUGCUGUUUCUUGUUACCUGACAUGGCAUUCGAUCACGCCUGUUCUGCAUCGUUGCACCCCAGCAGGUCUCAUUUUUGUCAUCACUAAAAUAUCAGCAUGAGCACAGCAGACCUAUGUACACAUGCACUACGCCACUACACUAUGAAGAACAGCUGACAAUGUGAGCAAGAUCUCAGGUGCUGGUGAGCAGCUCUCUACCCUCGCCGAGCAGGUCUCUGGCGCAAAUAUUGCAGUGACCACCAAGUUAGAACCCCAAUUACCAUCACAUCUGCUCCAGCUUGAACCCCAAACUGCAAUUGCAGGCAAAGCUUUUCUUGUCGUCGGACUUCUUCUCGCCCAGGGUAGGCGGCAGAACAGUCUCAAAGGCCUGGACAAGCAUCUCCACCUUCCUCUUCUGAGCACGGGCCAACUUGUUCACUGUCCUCCGAAGUGCAUAAUCGACCAUCCACUCCUCGGCAUUCUUGCGAUCAUCGGUCAUCUGAUGCCUGAGAUCAAUCUUCUCAGCAUCCGGAUCAGGCACCACCGGAAGAAAGUUGGGGGCCCUGGGGUUGAAUGCCCGGAUUCGCUCCCCGCCUCUGGGCGUUCUUCUCCUGGACAUGGUCAGCUUGUUUCCCUGGCUGGUUGCCGCGGCAUCAGCACCUGCAUCCUCGAAAUUCAUCCCACCAAAUGCACUUGAUAUGUCAUCCAUUGAGGAUUCCACUGAAGAGGAGCCGCCGCCGCCGCAAUCUGCAGAAUUGCGACAUUGUUCGCCGAUGGUCAGCAGUUUGUUUCUGGAAUUCAUUCAAGUGGUGGAAACUGAAACUGAAACUGGAAAGAAACAAGCGAUUUCAGGAAGAGAGAUUUCACCUUUGGACA